Molecule: ribosomal RNA, 296 nt
Filed under: uncultured Thermovirga sp.
Lineage: Bacteria; Thermotogati; Synergistota; Synergistia; Synergistales; Thermovirgaceae
Description: partial 16S ribosomal RNA
Rfam family: Bacterial small subunit ribosomal RNA
Source: RNAcentral
CCCGCAACGAGCGCAACCCUGCAUUCAGUUGCCAACGGUAAGGCCGGGCACUCUGGAUGGACUGCCGGCGACAAGCCGGAGGAAGGUGGGGAUGACGUCAAGUCAUCAUGGCCCUUAUGUCCAGGGCGACACACGUGCUACAAUGGCCGGCACAGCGGGAAGCGAGGGGGCGACCUUGAGCGGAUCCCUCAAAGCCGGUCUCAGUUCGGAUUGCAGUCCGCAACUCGACUGCAUGAAGUUGGAAUCGCUAGUAAUCGUGGAUCAGCCAAGCCGCGGUGAAUACGUUCCCGGGCCUU